CCUACCGAGCCUAGUUAUAGCUGGUUGCUUAAGAAAUGAAUGUUAGUUCAGCCUUAUGUAAUUCUAUAACCAAAACUUAUUAACAAAAAGAACAAAAGCAAUACAUAAGAGUUAGUCAAAGGGGGUACAGCCCCUUUGAAACAGAACACAACCUUAUUCAGGAGGACAAGGAUCAUACCAUAAAAGGACAAAAUUACCUCAGUGGGCCCAAAAGCAGCCACCUGUAAAGAAAGCGUUAAAGCUCCGGUAAAUACAGACCAAUAAUAAAGACAAUACACUCCCCACCCCCUAAAAAUAUUAAGCUAUCCUAUGCACACAUAGGAGAAACAAUGCUAAAAUCAGUAAUAAGAGGGCCCAAGCCCUCUCCUAGCACAUGUGUAAGUCAGAACGGACCGACCACUGACAAUCAACGGACCCAAACAGAGAGAAAAAGAACAAACUACAAAAAACAAGAAAAAUCUAUUUAAUACCACAAACCGUUAACCCAACACAGGAGUGCCUAAAGGAAAGACUAAAAGGAGAAGAAGGAACUCGGCAAACACAAACCCCGCCUGUUUACCAAAAACAUCGCCUCUUGCUAACAAAGGAAGUACUAGAGGUCCCGCCUGCCCUGUGACCACAAAGUUUAACGGCCGCGGUAUCCUGACCGUGCGAAGGUAGCGUAAUCAUUUGUCUUUUAAAUAGAGACCUGUAUGAAUGGCAUAACGAGGGUUUAACUGUCUCCUUCCCCUAGUCAAUGAAAUUGAUCUGCCCGUGCAGAAGCGGACAUAAACACAUAAGACGAGAAGACCCUAUGGAGCUUUAGACAAAAGAUCAAACAUGUAAAGAAACCAAGUUAACCAAAAGGAACACAAAGGCCACGAAACCCGACGUAAACUGAUCCAAAUGUCUUCGGUUGGGGCGACCAUGGGGGAGAAAAAAGCCCCCACGAGGAACAGGGACUAAUCCCUAAGCCAAGAGAGACAUCUCUAAGCAACAGAAAAUCUGACCAAAAGUGACCCAGAAUACUAAUUCUGAUCAACGAACCAAGUUACCCUAGGGAUAACAGCGCAAUCCUUUCCC
RNAcentral lists this ribosomal RNA (1062 nucleotides) under Anguilla japonica (Japanese eel). Its description in RNAcentral is "partial 16S rRNA". It matches the Rfam family "Bacterial large subunit ribosomal RNA", at positions 829 to 2494 of the family's 2925-position model. Lineage: Eukaryota; Metazoa; Chordata; Actinopteri; Anguilliformes; Anguillidae. The record is from RNAcentral.